RNAcentral lists this ribosomal RNA (922 nucleotides) under uncultured bacterium. RNAcentral's name for it is "bacterial SSU rRNA". It matches the Rfam family "Bacterial small subunit ribosomal RNA", at positions 1 to 916 of the family's 1533-position model. RNAcentral also lists the same sequence under 1 other name. The record is from RNAcentral.
AUCCAGACUUUGAUUAUGGCUCAGGAUGAACGCUAGCUACAGGCUUAACACAUGCAAGUCGAGGGGAAACGAUAUUGGAAGCUUGCUUCCGAUAGGCGUCGACCGGCGCACGGGUGAGUAACGCGUAUCCAACCUGCCCGUCACUUGGGGAUAACCUUGCGAAAGUAAGACUGAUACCCAAUGAUAUCUCAAGAAGACAUCUGGAUGAGAUUAAAGAUUUAUCGGUGAUGGAUGUGGAUGCGUCUGAUUAGCUUGUUGGCGGGGUAACGGCCCACCAAGGCGACGAUCAGUAGGGGUUCUGAGAGGAAGGUCCCCCACAUUGGAACUGAGACACGGUCCAAACUCCUACGGGAGGCAGCAGUGAGGAAUAUUGGUCAAUGGGCGAGAACCUGAACCAGCCAAGUAGCGUGCAGGAUGACGGCCCUAUGGGUUGUAAACUGCUUUUAUAAGGGAAUAAAGUGAGCUACGUGUAGCUUUUUGCAUGUACCUUAUGAAUAAGGACCGGCUAAUUCCGUGCCAGCAGCCGCGGUAAUACGGAAGGUCCGGGCGUUAUCCGGAUUUAUUGGGUUUAAAGGGAGCGUAGGCCGGAGAUUAAGCGUGUUGUGAAAUGUAGAUGCUCAACAUCUGCACUGCAGCGCGAACUGGUUUCCUUGAGUACGCACAAAGUGGGCGGAAUUCGUGGUGUAGCGGUGAAAUGCUUAGAUAUCACGAAGAACUCCGAUUGCGAAGGCAGCUCACUGGAGCGCAACUGACGCUGAAGCUCGAAAGUGCGGGUAUCGAACAGGAUUAGAUACCCUGGUAGUCCGCACGGUAAACGAUGGAUGCCCGCUGUUGGUCUGAAUAGGUCAGCGGCCAAGCGAAAGCAUUAAGCAUCCCACCUGGGGAGUACGCCGGCAACGGUGCAACUCAAAUGAAUUGACGG